Molecule: ribosomal RNA, 200 nt
Filed under: uncultured bacterium
Lineage: Bacteria
Description: partial 16S ribosomal RNA
Rfam family: Bacterial small subunit ribosomal RNA
Source: RNAcentral
AGCGAACGCUGGCGGCAGGCCUAACACAUGCAAGUCGAACGAACUCUUCGGAGUUAGUGGCGGACGGGUGAGUAACACGUGGGAACGUGCCUUUAGGUUCGGAAUAACUCAGGGAAACUUGUGCUAUACCGAAUGUGCCCUUCGGGGGAAAGAUUUAUCGCCUUUAGAGCGGCCCGCGUCUGAUUAGCUUGUUGGUGAGG